RNAcentral lists this unclassified non-coding RNA (352 nucleotides) under soil metagenome. RNAcentral describes it as "partial contains 5.8S ribosomal RNA, internal transcribed spacer 2, and large subunit ribosomal RNA". The stretch from base 1 to 120 matches the Rfam family "5.8S ribosomal RNA", at positions 35 to 154 of the family's 154-position model. The record is from RNAcentral.
GAUGAAGAACGUAGCGAAAUGCGAUAAGUAAUGUGAAUUGCAGAAUUCAGUGAAUCAUCGAAUCUUUGAACGCACAUUGCGCCCGCCAGUAUUCUGGCGGGCAUGCCUGUUCGAGCGUCAUUUCAACCCUCAGGCCGCCAGUGCCUGGUGUUGGGGAUCGGCCCAGCCUUCCUGUAAGGCCGCCGGCCCCGAAAUCUAGUGGCGGUCUCGCUGUAGUCCUCCUCUGCGUAGUAGCACAACCUCGCAGUUGGAACGCGGCGGUGGCCAUGCCGUUAAACACCCCACUUCUGAAAGUUGACCUCGGAUCAGGUAGGAAUACCCGCUGAACUUAAGCAUAUCAAUAAGCGGAGGA